RNAcentral lists this ribosomal RNA (496 nucleotides) under uncultured bacterium. RNAcentral describes it as "partial 16S ribosomal RNA". It matches the Rfam family "Bacterial small subunit ribosomal RNA", at positions 355 to 865 of the family's 1533-position model. The record is from RNAcentral.
UGGGGAAUAUUGGACAAUGGGCGCAAGCCUGAUCCAGCCAUGCCGCGUGAGUGAUGAAGGCCCUAGGGUUGUAAAGCUCUUUCACCGGUGAAGAUAAUGACGGUAACCGGAGAAGAAGCCCCGGCUAACUUCGUGCCAGCAGCCGCGGUAAUACGAAGGGGGCUAGCGUUGUUCGGAUUUACUGGGCGUAAAGCGCACGUAGGCGGACUUUUAAGUCAGGGGGUGAAAUCCCGGGGCUCAACCCCGGAACUGCCUUUGAUACUGGAAGUCUUGAGUAUGGUAGAGGUGAGUGGAAUUCCGAGUGUAGAGGUGAAAUUCGUAGAUAUUCGGAGGAACACCAGUGGCGAAGGCGGCUCACUGGACCAUUACUGACGCUGAGGUGCGAAAGCGUGGGGAGCAAAACAGGAUUAGAUACCCUGGUAGUCCACGCCGUAAACGAUGAAUGUUAGCCGUUGGGGGAGUUUAACUCUUCGGUGGCGCAGCUAACGCAUUAAAC